CGCGCGUAUCGCGACUGGCGUUUGGUGGGACACCACAAGGAAGCGAAUUCGGAGCGUCGUACGCCUGGGUGCUCCUC
Molecule: non-coding RNA, 77 nt
Filed under: Rhodococcus sp. (in: high G+C Gram-positive bacteria)
Lineage: Bacteria; Bacillati; Actinomycetota; Actinomycetes; Mycobacteriales; Nocardiaceae
Description: Rhodococcus sp. ZTP sequence
Rfam family: ZMP/ZTP riboswitch aptamer (pfl RNA motif)
About the family: Previously known as pfl RNA. ZMP is also known as AICAR.
Source: RNAcentral